GUGCCAGUGGUGUAGUGGUAUCAUGCAAGAUUCCCAUUCUUUUGACCUGGGUUUGAUUCCCGACUGGGGCA
This 71-nucleotide transfer RNA is filed under the name Lepisosteus oculatus (spotted gar). It matches the Rfam family "tRNA". From Rfam's summary of the family: Transfer RNA (tRNA) molecules are approximately 80 nucleotides in length. Their secondary structure includes four short double-helical elements and three loops (D, anti-codon, and T loops). Lineage: Eukaryota; Metazoa; Chordata; Actinopteri; Semionotiformes; Lepisosteidae. The record is from Rfam by way of RNAcentral.